GUGGUCACUUUGGCAGCACAUAUACUCAAAUUGGAACAAUACAGGUAAGAUUAGCAUGGCCUCUGUGCAAAGAUGACAUGCAAACUCAUGAAGCAUUCCAUAUUUUA
Small nuclear RNA from Macaca fascicularis (crab-eating macaque), 107 nucleotides. The record is from Ensembl. Lineage: Eukaryota; Metazoa; Chordata; Mammalia; Primates; Cercopithecidae.